This 386-nucleotide ribosomal RNA is filed under the name uncultured Lactobacillus sp. RNAcentral's name for it is "bacterial SSU rRNA". It matches the Rfam family "Bacterial small subunit ribosomal RNA", at positions 163 to 525 of the family's 1533-position model. The record is from RNAcentral. Lineage: Bacteria; Bacillati; Bacillota; Bacilli; Lactobacillales; Lactobacillaceae.
UAAAUACCGGAUAGAAAGCAGAUCGCAUGAUCAGCUUUUAAAAGGACGGCGUAAAGCUGUCGCUAUGGGGAUGGCCCCGCGGUGCAUUAGCUAGUUGGUAAGGCAAAGGCUUACCAAGGGCGAUGAUGCAUAGCCCGAGUUGAGAGACUGAUCGGCCACAUUGGGGACUGAGACACGGGCCCAAACUCCUACGGGAGGGCAGCAGUAGGGAAUCUUCCACAAUGGACGCAAGUCUGAUGGAGCAAACGCCGCGUGAGUGAAGAAGGUUUUCGGAUCGUAAAGCUCUGUUGUUGGUGAAGAAGGAUAGAGGUAGUAACUGGCCCUUUAUUUGACGGUAAUCAACCAGAAAGUCACGGGCUAACUACGUGCCAGCAGCCGCGGUAAAU